AGGAUGUCAAGGGUAGCAGGCCAGACUUUUUUUAAAAUAAAAUAAGAAAAAUAAAAGCCCAGCCGUCCAGGGCGUCUUCGGCCGGCCCCUCCCUCCCGCCCCACCUCCGGCUCCCGGGCCGCGGCUCCGGCGCCGCGUUUUCUCGGCCGCCACGCGCCCGCGGGUUAAAGCUCCCCCGCCAGGAGUAAACAGCGCCCCAGCGGGCAGCCGGCAGCCCCGCCCCUCGGCCCGUUUCCUGCGCCAGCCCUGACAACAGGCCCCGCCCUUCGCGACAGGCCCCGCCCCGCGCAGGCCGUCUGGCCCCUCCCGCCGUCCGCCUACCAGAGACGAGGUCCCGGCCCGUGCCGAGUGCCCAGUCAGCCCCGAGCCUUCUCCCCCGGGACUCCGCGGCCCGAGCCCGCCCCAAAGGAGGAAUCCGACAUCUCAAGCCCCCUGAUCCACAGGCUCCUGCUGCGCAAACACCCCGCCCUCCUGCCUGCUGCACACACAGGCCUGCAUUGUAGGGCCUCCCACGCCUCCGUUCCCGGAACGGAGUUCACCUAGCCCUGUGCCUGCCCUGCUGUCUUCUCUAAAGUUGGGGAAACGUGAGGUUCAGAAAGCUGGAAGGAUUUCAGUUGCACCAUACAUCGACCACACAACAGUCCCACUCCUGGGUAUUACCCAAGAGAGGCUAAAACAGAUGCCCACACGAAGACUUCUACAUGAAUCUCGAUUCAGAACAGCCAACCAGAUAAUCAUCACAAUGGCCAUGAACAGGACAGUGAGUAAACAAAUUGCAAUAACCCGUGCAAUGGGACGCUACUCAAUAAAAAGACACAAACUUCUGGUGCAGAACUACCUGAAAGGAACCUCAAAAGUGUUCGCUUUGGUCAACGCAGCACAGUGGCUCAUGACUCUAAUCCCAGCAGUUUGAGAGGCCAAGCUACUCAGGAGGCUGAGGGAGGAGAAUCGCUUGAACCCAGAAGGCGGAGGUUCUGGUGAGGGGCAGAUGGAGGUAGAAAGCAGGACUCAACUCCAGAGGUGGAGCAUGGACACGGGACCAAAAUGAGCACUAGCUAAAACAGGGACAGAGAGGAAGCAGCUUUCCCACCAGUGAGGUGGGAAAGACACGCCCACCAGGGCGCCCUGUCAGUGUAUCGUUGCCAUGGCAACACCCCAGCAUGGCCACCCCUUUUCAUGGCAAUGACCCAGCGACCCAAAAGUUACCACCCUUCUCCUAGACAUUUCUGCAUAAACUAAUCUAUUACAUGUAAUCGAAAGUAGGUGUAAAUCGGACUGAAGCCCAAGCUGCCCCUCUCAGCACGCUGCCUAUGGGGUAGCCCAGCUCUGCAGGAGCAUCCAGGGGCUGUCAUGCUGCUGGAGUUGUAACACUGCCGCUUCACUAAAGCUGUUAUCUUCUCCCCUAACAUCAACUUACCCUUGAAUUCUUUCCUGAGCAAAGCCAAGAACCCUCACAGGCUGAGCCCUUUUUUGGGGGUUCACCUGCCCUGCCUCAAGAUGACUACCUGGAAACUAACAGACUCCAGCUACAGUUAACCGGUUAACACCUUCCAGAUCUUCCUUCCUAGGAAAAUACCCAUUAUCCUGUCUGUCUCAAGGUAGCUCCAGGAAAUAGAUCAGAGCUGGCAGAAAAGAAAGCUGGAGAACCUUCACUAAACCUUCACUGCAGGAGAGACAGUCAUUUCCAGGAGGCACUGAGAGAGGGUGAGCCAUGGAGCCAGACUGACUGGGUUCCACACCGGCUUCUCCACCUACUUGCUCUUCUCUGGUUCCACAUCUGUCAACCUGGGAUGGUGAUAAUAACUGUGGCCUAGAGACAUUGGUUCAGAUUGAAUGAGCAAAUGUAGGAAAAGUGCAGGCAGCGUUUGGCAUCUAAUAAAGCCAUCAAAGCAAUCACUCUGUGCUGUGUUUUUAGCGUUCCUCCCACUCUUCCUGAUCCCACCCUCAGUGCAGCUUUAGGACCGACUUCAAGAUUACCAGCAGAGUGAAUGGAGGGUCAGAGGGCAAGGUAGCUCUGUAGACACAGGUGUGCAUAAUGGGGUGCUGGAAUGGAAAUUGGGGUUCAGAGAAGCAAGUGAGUCAUGGGUCCAGGCAGUGGAGUGGGGAGACAACAUAACUCCCAGAUGCAAUGUGAGACAGAGACUCUGCUGUCUCCUGGUCUCUGAGCUCCUGAUCCACAAGUGAACGUGGCAUCUAAUCCUCCUUGCACUCUGUGUUUCCUGAGAGCAGACACCAUGUUUUAUUUAUCUUCAUUCAUCCUGUAGCAGCUAGCUCAGGGCGGGGUGUAAGUGAUCAACAAAUCUUUGAAUAUUUGUUAAAUAAGAUUUGAUUUUAUUGAUUUUUGAGAUAGAGCUUUGCUCUGCCAACCAGGCUGGAGUGCAGUAGUGCAAUCAUAGCUCACUGCAGCCUCGACCUCCCAGACUCAAGCCAUCCUCCUACCUCAGCCUCCUGAGUAGCUAGGACUACAGGCAUGAGCCACUGUGUUCAGCUAAUUUUAAUUUUUUUCUGUAGACACCUGUCUACAAAAAGGGUCUCUCUGUGUUGCACAGGCUGAGA
Molecule: long non-coding RNA, 2556 nt
Organism: Callithrix jacchus (white-tufted-ear marmoset)
Lineage: Eukaryota; Metazoa; Chordata; Mammalia; Primates; Cebidae
Source: RefSeq, a predicted model, not a curated record